UACGUAGGGUGCAAGCGUUGUCCGGAAUUAUUGGGCGUAAAGAGCUCGUAGGCGGUUUGUCGCGUCGAAUGUGAAAACCCGGGGCUCAACCCCGGGCCUGCAUUCGAUACGGGCAGGCUAGAGUUCGGUAGGGGAGUCUGGAAUUCCUGGUGUAGCGGUGAAAUGCGUAGAUAUCAGGAGGAACACCUGCGGUGUAGACGGCUUACUGGACCAUAACUGACGCUGAGGCACGAAAGCGUGGGUAGCAAACAGG
RNAcentral lists this ribosomal RNA (253 nucleotides) under uncultured bacterium. RNAcentral describes it as "partial 16S ribosomal RNA". It matches the Rfam family "Bacterial small subunit ribosomal RNA", at positions 524 to 776 of the family's 1533-position model. The record is from RNAcentral.